UGGGGAAUAUUGGACAAUGGGGGCAACCCUGAUCCAGCGACGCCGCGUGGGUGAAGAAGGCCUGCGGGUUGUAAAGCCCUUUCGGUAGGGACGAAAGCUUCCGACCUAACACGUCGGGAGGUUGACUUAACCUACAAAAGAAGCACCGGCUAACUCUGUGCCAGCAGCCGCGGUAAUACAGAGGGUGCGAGCGUUAAUCGGAAUUACUGGGCGUAAAGCGUGCGCAGGCGGUUUCGUAAGUCAGAUGUGAAAUCCCCGGGCUCAACCUGGGAACUGCGUUUGAAACUGCGAGGCUAGAGUGUAGCAGAGGGGGGUAGAAUUCCACGUGUAGCAGUGAAAUGCGUAGAGAUGUGGAGGAAUACCGAUGGCGAAGGCAGCCCCCUGGGCUAACACUGACGCUCAUGCACGAAAGCGUGGGGAGCAAACAGGAUUAGAUACCCUGGUAGUCCACGCCCUAAACGAUGUCUACUAGUUGUUGGUGGAGUAAAAUCCAUUAGUAACGCAGCUAACGCGUGAAGUAGACCGCCUGGGGAGUACGGUCGCAAGAUUA
Molecule: ribosomal RNA, 550 nt
Filed under: uncultured bacterium
Lineage: Bacteria
Description: bacterial SSU rRNA
Rfam family: Bacterial small subunit ribosomal RNA
Source: RNAcentral